GGAGAGGUGCGAGAGUGGUUGAAUCGGGCGGUCUCGAAAACCGUUGUGCCGCUAGCCGGUACCGUGGGUUCGAAUCCCACCCUCUCCG
RNAcentral lists this transfer RNA (88 nucleotides) under Chlorobiota bacterium. Its description in RNAcentral is "tRNA-Ser". It matches the Rfam family "tRNA". From Rfam's summary of the family: Transfer RNA (tRNA) molecules are approximately 80 nucleotides in length. Their secondary structure includes four short double-helical elements and three loops (D, anti-codon, and T loops). Lineage: Bacteria; Pseudomonadati; Chlorobiota. RNAcentral also lists the same sequence under 1 other name. The record is from RNAcentral.